Molecule: long non-coding RNA, 103 nt
Organism: Ipomoea nil (Japanese morning glory)
Lineage: Eukaryota; Viridiplantae; Streptophyta; Magnoliopsida; Solanales; Convolvulaceae
Exons: 2
Source: RefSeq, a predicted model, not a curated record
GUCCAACACCCUACCUCUCAAAAAUGUGGCGAUAUAAGAAAAUAAAGUUACGCCUUCACUACUAACUAUAGCUUUUGGCAUAAUGGUAAACGUUUGAUCCUAA